GUUGAGUCAGGCAACGAGCGAGACCCACGUCCACAGUUGCCAGCAUACCCUCCCGGGGUGGAUGGGUACGACUGUGGAGACCGCCGCUGCUAAAGCGGAGGAAGGAGUGGGCAACGGUAGGUCAGUAUGCCCCGAAUCUCCCGGGCUACACGCGGGCUACAAUGGUUGGUACAAUGGGCAUCUACCCCGAAAGGGGAAGGAAAUCUCUUAAAGCCAAUCGUAGUUCGGAUUGAGGGCUGCAACUCGCCCUCAUGAAGCUGGAAUCCGUAGUAAUCGCGUUUCAACAGAACGCGGUGAAUACGUCCCUGCUCCUU
This 314-nucleotide ribosomal RNA is filed under the name uncultured Methanosaeta sp. RNAcentral's name for it is "bacterial SSU rRNA". It matches the Rfam family "Archaeal small subunit ribosomal RNA", at positions 1028 to 1338 of the family's 1478-position model. Lineage: Archaea; Methanobacteriati; Methanobacteriota; Methanomicrobia; Methanotrichales; Methanotrichaceae. The record is from RNAcentral.